UACAGAGGGUGCGAGCGUUAAUCGGAAUUACUGGGCGUAAAGCGCGCGUAGGCGGCUUUUCAAGUCGGAUGUGAAAUCCCCGGGCUUAACCUGGGAACUGCAUUCGAGACUGUCUAGCUAGAGUAUGGGAGAGGGAAGUGGAAUUUCAGGUGUAGCGGUGAAAUGCGUAGAUAUCUGAAGGAACAUCAGUGGCGAAAGCGACUUCCUGGACCAGUACCGACGUUCAGGCACGAAAGCGUGGGGAGCAAACAGG
RNAcentral lists this ribosomal RNA (253 nucleotides) under uncultured bacterium. RNAcentral describes it as "partial 16S ribosomal RNA". It matches the Rfam family "Bacterial small subunit ribosomal RNA", at positions 524 to 776 of the family's 1533-position model. The record is from RNAcentral.